This 244-nucleotide ribosomal RNA is filed under the name uncultured Staphylococcus sp. Its description in RNAcentral is "partial 16S ribosomal RNA". It matches the Rfam family "Bacterial small subunit ribosomal RNA", at positions 96 to 334 of the family's 1533-position model. The record is from RNAcentral. Lineage: Bacteria; Bacillati; Bacillota; Bacilli; Caryophanales; Staphylococcaceae.
CGGCGGACGGGUGAGUAACACGUGGAUAACCUACCUAUAAGACUGGGAUAACUUCGGGAAACCGGAGCUAAUACCGGAUAAUAUAUUGAACCGCGUGGUUCAAUAGUGAAAGACGGUUUUGCUGUCACUUAUAGAUGGAUCCGCGCCGCAUUAGCUAGUUGGUAAGGUAACGGCUUACCAAGGCAACGAUGCGUAGCCGACCUGAGAGGGUGAUCGGCCACACUGGAACUGAGACACGGUCCAG